UCCGUAGGUGAACCUGCGGAAGGAUCAUUAAAAGAACGGGGAGGCGUGUUCUCGGUUUCUCUGGGAAUCGAGACGCGCUUCCUUUUAGUAUCCAAAUUCAUUAUUUUUUUGUCUCGGAAUCCGGCGAUUACAUGCUCGAUUCCAAAAUGUAAUAUAAACAAAACUUUCAACAAUGGAUCUCUUGGCUCUUGCAUCGAUGAAGAACGCAGUGAAGUGCGAUAUGUAGUGUGAAUUGCAGAAUUCCGUGAAUCAUCGAAUCUUUGAACGCAUAUUGCACUCUCUGGUAUUCCGGAGAGUAUGCCUAUUUGAGGGUCAUGUGAAACAUACAUUCUAGAUUUCUUAGAACAAAAUGGGUCAUCCAGAUUUUAUUUCAUGGUUACCUAAAAUACAAGACAAGCUCAUUUUUUGGGUUACGUGAUACUCGUUAUUCGUGACAUUCCGAGAAAUAUGUGGCGUGUUGUAAUUUUGCAAAAGCGAAUGGGAAUUCGUCUCUGCGAAAUAGAAACAAUUGAAUCUUGACCUCAAAUUAGGGUAGGGGGAGGUACCCGGCUGGAACUUAAGGCAUAUCAAUAAGGCGGGAGGGAAGGUCGGACUGGCCAAGGGGCACACAGGGGGGGGGAUA
Molecule: ribosomal RNA, 622 nt
Filed under: uncultured fungus
Lineage: Eukaryota; Fungi
Description: eukaryotic LSU rRNA
Rfam family: 5.8S ribosomal RNA (bases 162-315)
Source: RNAcentral